UGACGAGUUUGAUCAUGGCUCAGAGCGAACGCUAGCGGCAGGCUUAACACAUGCAAGUCGAACGAAGUUCUUCGGAACUUAGUGGCGAACGGGUGAGUAACACGUAGGUGAUGUACCCUUUGGUGGAGGAUAACUCAGGGAAACCUGAGCUAAUACUGCAUAUGUCUUUCGGGAUAAAGUACUUCGGACGCCUUAGGAGCAGCCUGCGGCCCAUUAUCUAAUCCUAGUUGGUAGGGUAACGGCCUACCAAGGGUACGAUGGGUAGCUGGUCUGAGAGGAUGAUCGGCCACACUGGGACUGAGACACGGCCCAGACUCCUACGGGAGGCAGCAGUGGGGAAUAUUGCGCAAUGGGGGAAACCCGUGACGCAGCCAUGCCGCGUGUGUGAUGAAGGCCCUCGGGUCGUAAAGCACUGUCGGGAGGGACGAAGAUCUGACGGUACCUCGCAAGAAAGCACCGGCUAACUCCGUG
Molecule: ribosomal RNA, 471 nt
Filed under: uncultured bacterium
Lineage: Bacteria
Description: bacterial SSU rRNA
Rfam family: Bacterial small subunit ribosomal RNA
Source: RNAcentral